CACUGAAAAUGCUAAGAUGAGUCUUUAAGACUCCAUAAACA
RNAcentral lists this transfer RNA (41 nucleotides) under Rhynchocyon petersi (black and rufous elephant shrew). RNAcentral describes it as "partial tRNA-Phe". Lineage: Eukaryota; Metazoa; Chordata; Mammalia; Macroscelidea; Macroscelididae. The record is from RNAcentral.